RNAcentral lists this non-coding RNA (89 nucleotides) under Roseovarius atlanticus. RNAcentral's name for it is "TPP sequence". It matches the Rfam family "TPP riboswitch aptamer (THI element)". From Rfam's summary of the family: Vitamin B(1) in its active form thiamin pyrophosphate (TPP) is an essential coenzyme that is synthesised by coupling of pyrimidine and thiazole moieties in bacteria. The previously detected thiamin-regulatory element, thi box was extended, resulting in a new, highly conserved RNA secondary structure, the THI element, which is widely distributed in eubacteria and also occurs in some archaea. Analysis of operon structures identified a large number of new candidate thiamin-regulated genes, mostly transporters, in various prokaryotic organisms. The record is from RNAcentral. Lineage: Bacteria; Pseudomonadati; Pseudomonadota; Alphaproteobacteria; Rhodobacterales; Roseobacteraceae.
CGGCAGAGCCAGGGGCGCCUUCGGGCUGAGAUGUACCCUUUGAACCUGACCCAGAUCAUGCUGGCGGAGGAAGGCGCGACCGAAGCCGG